GAUGAAGAACGCAGCGAAAUGCGAUAAGUAAUGUGAAUUGCAGAAUUCAGUGAAUCAUCGAAUCUUUGAACGCACAUUGCGCCCACCAGUAUUCUGGCGGGCAUGCCUGUUCGAGCGUCAUUACAACCCUCAGGCCCCCGGGCCUGGCGUUGGGGAUCGGCGGAGCCCCCCGUGGGCACACGCCGUCCCCCAAAUGCAGUGGCGGUCCCGCCGCAGCUUCCAUCGCGUAGUAGCUAACACCUCGCGACUGGAGAGCGGCGCGGCCACGCCGUAAAACACCCAACUCUUCUGAAGUUGACCUCGAAUCAGGUAGGAAUACCCGCUGAACUUAAGCAUAUCAAUAAGCGGAGGA
RNAcentral lists this unclassified non-coding RNA (352 nucleotides) under soil metagenome. RNAcentral describes it as "partial contains 5.8S ribosomal RNA, internal transcribed spacer 2, and large subunit ribosomal RNA". The stretch from base 1 to 120 matches the Rfam family "5.8S ribosomal RNA", at positions 35 to 154 of the family's 154-position model. The record is from RNAcentral.